This 377-nucleotide unclassified non-coding RNA is filed under the name uncultured Actinomycetes bacterium. Its description in RNAcentral is "uncultured actinobacterium contains 16S-23S intergenic spacer region". The record is from RNAcentral. Lineage: Bacteria; Bacillati; Actinomycetota; Actinomycetes.
UCCGGUUUGGCACCGGCAGUCUCCGAUGAGUCCCCGGCAUUACCCGCUGGCAACAUCGGACAGGGGUUGCGCUCGUUGCGCCACUUAAGGCAACACCUCACGGCACGAGCUGACGACAGCCAUGCAGCACCUGUGCGGGCUCCCGAAGGAGCGCCGUGUUUCCACGGUUUCACCCCGCAUGUCAAACCCAGGUAAGGUUCUUCGCGUUGCCUCGAAUUAGGCAACAUGCUCCGCCGCUUGUGCGAGCCCCCGUCAAUUCCUUUGAGUUUUAGCCUUGCGGCCGUACUCCCCAGGCGGGGUGCUUAAUGCGUUAGCUGCGGCACAGAGAGGGUUGAUGCUCCCCACACCUAGCACCCAACGUUUACGGCUGGGACUAC